GAAGUGAAAAAUAGUGGUGACCUGUCGUGGAACAAUCCCAUUGAAGAAGAUAACAGUGGUUACCCAGACCUCAUUGCGAAGGGGCUCCCAUAACAGUUCAAGCUUCAGGCCCCAAAAAUAUAGGUCCGCCACUGUCUAC
Amblyraja radiata (thorny skate) is the source of this 139-nucleotide long non-coding RNA. RefSeq lists it as uncharacterized. The record is from RefSeq and is a predicted model, not a curated record. The transcript is spliced from 3 exons. NCBI's taxonomy places the organism in Eukaryota, Metazoa, Chordata, Chondrichthyes, Rajiformes, Rajidae.